AGGACGAACGCUGGCGGCGUGCUUAACACAUGCAAGUCGAGCGGAAAGGCCCUUCUGGGUACUCGAGCGGCGAACGGGUGAGUAACACGUGAGCAACCUGCCCUCAGCUCUGGGAUAGCUCCGGGAAACCGGAAUUAAUACCGGAUACGACUACGGCCGACAUCGGCUUUGGUGGAAAGGGUUUCCGGCUGAGGAUGGGCUCGCGGCCUAUCAGCUAGUUGGUGGGGUAAUGGCCCACCAAGGCGACGACGGGUA
This 255-nucleotide ribosomal RNA is filed under the name uncultured bacterium. Its description in RNAcentral is "partial small subunit ribosomal RNA". It matches the Rfam family "Bacterial small subunit ribosomal RNA", at positions 26 to 285 of the family's 1533-position model. The record is from RNAcentral.